GAUGGAAUCGAGGACAAAACGUAG
This 24-nucleotide non-coding RNA is filed under the name Arabidopsis thaliana (thale cress). The record is from RNAcentral. Lineage: Eukaryota; Viridiplantae; Streptophyta; Magnoliopsida; Brassicales; Brassicaceae.